UAGGGAAUCUUCGGCAAUGGACGAAAGUCUGACCGAGCAACGCCGCGUGAGUGAAGAAGGUUUUCGAAUCGUAAAACUCUGUUGGUAGAGAAGAACGUUGGUGAGAGUGGAAAGCUCAUCAAGUGACGGUAACUACCCAGAAGGGGACGGCUAACUACGUGCCAC
RNAcentral lists this ribosomal RNA (165 nucleotides) under uncultured bacterium. RNAcentral describes it as "partial 16S rRNA". It matches the Rfam family "Bacterial small subunit ribosomal RNA", at positions 355 to 511 of the family's 1533-position model. The record is from RNAcentral.